GCCAGGUGUGGUGGCUCACGCCUGUAAUCUCAGCAGCUUGGGAGGCUGAGGCAGAGUUCAACGCCAACCUCAGCAAUGGUGAGGUGCUAAGCAACUCAGUGAGACCCUGUCUCUA
Molecule: small RNA, 115 nt
Filed under: Marmota monax (woodchuck)
Lineage: Eukaryota; Metazoa; Chordata; Mammalia; Rodentia; Sciuridae
Source: RNAcentral